AUCAUCCAUAAAAAUUUCACAAAUUAUUUAUUCUUUCAUUUGACCAAUUUUUUCUCCAUUUUGUACAUCAAUACACCACACAGUAAAGGUUAAAUGCUGACUGGGAAUUUAUUUUUGAAAAAAAAGUAAAAAAUCAAAAAUAAUUGUACUUAUAUUUGUUUCAGGUUUGAAUUAUUUGAUAACUAGAUUCUAACUCUAAAACAACCUUUUCAAUAUUAUUCUUGUACCAUUCCUUAUUACAAUGCAAAAGUGCACAUAGUGAAAUGAAUAUGUUUAAAAAAUAUUUCUUUAAAAUAAUUUGAAUUGGAUUUGGUCAUUUGCCAAGCUUAUGAAAGCCCUCUCCACAAUAUUAAUGUUAAAAUUCUUUAAAAAAAAAAGUUUUACCAUAAGGAUCACAAUAACUUUACAGUAUCUAUGAUCUUAGAAAUGAGGUCAAGGUCAGAUGAUUGCUGCCAUAAAGACAUGUACGUCAUUCAACAAGUUUAUAUUGAAAACAUCAGCAAAUCAGAAAAUCGAUGACUAGUGGUAUAAAAAGCAGAUAUACUGUUAUAAUGUGUGCUGCAUCACCUGAAGUUUUGAAACCUUGCCUUAGCUGUGUUUUUAAUUAACACCUGGCUAUUAUUAUCACAAGCUCAGAACUAAUAUUAGGAAGAAAUUAAAAUUCCAUAACAACUGUCUUCAUUAUUUUAUUACUUUUCAGCUAAGACUAUUGUCAUUAUGAUUUAAAACUUGAUUUAAUGUACUUAGAAAAAAAGUGAUUUUCCACUACUAACACACAUGUUUUGUUUGCUAUGAAAUACGCAUUCUUUAAAUUCUCUUCUGCAGAUUAGACACUAAAUCGUAAAUUUAAAAUAAUUUUAUGCCAAAUAAACCAAGUGCAACCACUAUCCUUAAUAUUCAAACACUACAAAAUGUAGAAAAGCCGAUGAUUUCCUGUGAAUUUGAUAAGCAAAACAAAUCCCAGAAAUGAGUUCGGAAUUGUUUGUUUUAGUAUUGUCACAAAACAUCCGGUUUGAAUUUUGACUUGUAAAUCAAAAGAAACGUUAGCAAUGACUGAGAAAAUUAUUGUUUUGAGUCAUUAUUUUUAAACUGAUGCCUUCCCUUAAUUGUUCUUGAAUGAAUUUAAGAAGUUGGUAGAAAAAAAUCAUGAAGUAAAUGCAAUGCAACAGUUAAACAAGUUUGUUGAUGCUACUAGUAUGAGCAUACUCGUGCAGUAAUGUGAUUUUGACAAUCUUUUUUUGA
RNAcentral lists this long non-coding RNA (1242 nucleotides) under Mytilus galloprovincialis (Mediterranean mussel). Lineage: Eukaryota; Metazoa; Mollusca; Bivalvia; Mytilida; Mytilidae. The record is from RNAcentral.